This 808-nucleotide ribosomal RNA is filed under the name Clostridioides difficile. RNAcentral describes it as "partial 23S ribosomal RNA". It matches the Rfam family "Bacterial large subunit ribosomal RNA", at positions 1030 to 1855 of the family's 2925-position model. Lineage: Bacteria; Bacillati; Bacillota; Clostridia; Peptostreptococcales; Peptostreptococcaceae. The record is from RNAcentral.
GAUCGUCAGCUAAGGUCCCUAAAUGUAAGUUAAGUGGUAAAGGAUGUGGGAUUGCACAGACAACCAGGAUGUUGGCUUAGAAGCAGCCACUCAUUCAAAGAGGGCGUAAUAGCUCACUGGUCGAGUGAUCCUGCGCCGAAGAUUUCCGGGGCUAAAACUUACUACCGAAGCUACGGCAUCAGGAAUGAUGGGUAGGGGAGCUUCCCAUACGGGUUGAAGCAUGACCGUAAGGACAUGUGGACAGUAUGGGAGUGAGAAUGUUGGCAUGAGUAGCGAGAUGUGGGUGAGAAUCCCACAGGCCGUAAACCCAAGGUUUCCAGGGGAAGGUUCGUCCGCCCUGGGUUAGUCGGGACCUAAGCUGAGGCCGAAAGGCGUAGGUGAUGGACAACAGGUUGAUAUUCCUGUACUACCGAUAACCGUUUGAGAGAAGGGAUGACACAGUAGGAUAAGCUAAGCACACUGUUGGUUAUGUGUGCCCAAGCAUUGAGGCGGUCAAAGUAGGCAAAUCCGCUUUGAUAAUGCUGGGAUGUGAUGGGGAGCGAAAUUUAGUAGCGAAGUAGCUGAUUUCACACUGUCAAGAAAAGUCUCUAUCGAGGUUAAAGGUACCCGUACCGCAAACCGACACAGGUGGGUGAGGAGAGUAUCCUAAGGCCAGCGAGAGAACUGUUGUUAAGGAACUCGGCAAAAUGACCCCGUAACUUAGGGAUAAGGGGUGCCACCAUCAGGUGGCCGCAGAGAAUAGGCCCAAGCGACUGUUUACCAAAAACAUAGGUUUCUGCUAAGUCGCAAGACGAUGUAUAGGAGCUGA